GUGUCUUCCCUGAUGACGAGGGUGGCGGUGAUGCACCUCACGGGGUGGAGGACCCCGCCCGGUAUGGAAGCCAAGCAUCCCCCUCCCCCCUGUUCCUCCAUCCCCUGCCAAAUGCCGAGCCCCACUUCUGCUGGUGGCAGGGUCAGGCAGCAGUUUCGUGAGGAAGUCAGAGCGAUUUAUCGCCACUGAUGCUGGCAGUCAGAGCCUCGAUGGCGAGGCAUCCAAGCGACCCGCGACAGCGAACACGCUAGUGCCAUCCAUAGGAUUAGGCAGAGUGCCCGCGCGACUCGAAGGUAUAUAAGUUACCACCACCCCUCACGCUGCCCUGCUGGUGUGGGGAUGGGGCCUGCGUACCACCCCCAGGGGAGGAUGCACCAGCUGGAAACCAACAUGAUGGGAAGAGCGGAUCUGGGGCAACCUGCGAGGCGGCUGUGGUGGGUAGCGUUCGAGGCCGAGGCAGCGCUCAGAUGGCCGAGUCGGUGCAUUGCUGUAACACGUGUGUCUGCGACCGCUUCGCGCGACGCGAAGGCCUCCUGCUAUGCGGGAGAGGGUAAUUUGGAGUGCAGUGGAGCUUAUGUUGUAUGGCAAACAUCGGGACCACCUUGAAGAGGAUGUUGUUUUGGUCUACAUCUCUUGCGCUUGUGUAGAGCCUGGGAAUGUGUUGAGGGGCCCUUCUACCGGUGGUACACGCGCUCACACAAGCGCAUCGAUCAAUGUACGGCAGGC
This 726-nucleotide unclassified non-coding RNA is filed under the name Leishmania donovani. RNAcentral describes it as "gene:unknown". The record is from RNAcentral. Lineage: Eukaryota; Euglenozoa; Kinetoplastea; Trypanosomatida; Trypanosomatidae.